This 407-nucleotide ribosomal RNA is filed under the name uncultured bacterium. RNAcentral describes it as "partial 16S ribosomal RNA". It matches the Rfam family "Bacterial small subunit ribosomal RNA", at positions 28 to 526 of the family's 1533-position model. The record is from RNAcentral.
GAUGAACGCUAGCUACAGGCUUAACACAUGCAAGUCGCAGGACUGGCGCACGGGUGAGUAACGCGUAUCCAACCUUCCCAUAACUACGGGAUAACCCGUUGAAAGACUGCCUAAUACAGUUUUGUCAUGGAUGUGGAUGCGUCUGAUUAGCUUUUUGGGGGGGUAACGGCCCACCAAGGCUACGAUCAGUAGGGGUUCUGAGAGGAAGGCACACCAGAUUGGAUAUGAGACACGGUCCAAAAUGGUAGGGGAGGCAGGAGUGUGGAAGAUUGGUGAAGGGGCGAGGGCGUGACCAAGCCAAGUGGCGUGCAGAAGGACGGCCUAUGGAUUGUAAACUGCUUUUAUGUGGGGAGAGGUACCAAAUGAAUAAGGACCGGCUAAUUCCGUGCCAGCAGCCGCGGUAAUUC